CCUACGGGAGGCUGCAGUGAGGAAUAUUGGUCAAUGGACGAGAGUCUGAACCAGCCAAGUAGCGUGAAGGAUGACUGCCCUCUGGGUUGUAAACUUCUUUUAUAUGGGAAUAAAAUGUUCCAAGUGUGGGAUUUUGUAUGUACCAUAUGAAUAAGGAUAGGCUAACUCCGUGCCAGCAGCCGCGGUAAUACGGAGGAUCCGAGCGUUAUCCGGAUUUCUUGGGUUUAAAGGGAGCGUAGGUGGAUUGUUAAGUCAGUUGUGCAAGUUUGCGGCUCAACCGUAAAAUUGCAGUUGAAACUGGCAGUCUUGAGUACAGUAGAGGUGGGCGGAAUUCGUGGUGUAGCGGUGAAAUGCUUAGAUAUCACGAAGAACUCCGAUGGCGAAGGCAGCUCACUGGACUGCAACUGACACUGAGGCUCGAAAGUGUGGGUAUCAAACAGGAUUAGAUACCCCUGUAGUC
Molecule: ribosomal RNA, 460 nt
Filed under: uncultured bacterium
Lineage: Bacteria
Description: partial 16S ribosomal RNA
Rfam family: Bacterial small subunit ribosomal RNA
Source: RNAcentral